Molecule: long non-coding RNA, 361 nt
Filed under: Homo sapiens (human)
Lineage: Eukaryota; Metazoa; Chordata; Mammalia; Primates; Hominidae
Description: long intergenic non-protein coding RNA 2153
Source: RNAcentral
GGCCCUCAGGGGCAUGCGAGGGCAGGCCUUCCUCUUUAUAUAGGCUUAGAGAGCCACUACUCGAAGCCAAGCCUUACGUCAGGCAGCAGAGAUACCAAGAUGAGGUUGAAGAAAACACACGGCUUUCUCCACUCAUGGACUCCAAUGAGGAUGGCAACAACAUGGUAAUUAGAAGUCAUUAGCAGAUUGCUCUCAGCAAGUGGAAAGCAGUGAGAAUUCUGAAGCAAGACUUCUCUGGACUUCAGGGAAGUCCCUCUAAGGAAGUGACAUCUAAACUGGAACUCCACUGCCUCUAGUAUGUCUACUCUGGAGUUCCCACCUUUAAGGGUUUCUGGGAACAUUAAUAUAUAUAGUGUGAGUG